UCCAUUGAAGCGGAUUCUGAGCUUUCUCACCUCCAUUGAAGCAGCUUCGAGGACAAGGGUAUUGGACAUUGGCGUUUCAGCUGUAUCAUGUCUUUCCCUUGGAAGCCUAUCCUUUCUGCUACAGGUUAUACAGAGUACUAUUAUGAUCCAAGAUCUGGUAAAGUUUGCAGAUAUGUCACAACAAAAAUGAAGCAUGUGGAGCACUGGAAUGUCCCAAAAAUGGCUCUGUUGAAGCAAAUUUUGAAGCUGAGCAUUAAGUUCUGAAAUUACUAUAACCAUAGGACUGAAAGCUUUGUGAAUAGUGAUGCUUAUGGUUGUGAUACUAGUAGAUACAGAGAACUACAGAAGGCAUUGUAGUUUUGUGAGUACAAACAGAUAUAUUAGCAUCCAAAGUCUAGUUUAUAAGAACUGAUAGAUUGAUACUUGUAUUUUUAUUUUUGCUAGGAUAAUUUUUGUAGGUUAUUUUUGUGCAAUAUAUGGUCUACUUUUGUAUUGGUUUUCUACACAAGUUUUUUUUGUA
This is a long non-coding RNA of Chenopodium quinoa (quinoa), 520 nucleotides long. RefSeq lists it as uncharacterized. The record is from RefSeq and is a predicted model, not a curated record. Lineage: Eukaryota; Viridiplantae; Streptophyta; Magnoliopsida; Caryophyllales; Amaranthaceae. The transcript is spliced from 4 exons.